Molecule: long non-coding RNA, 225 nt
Filed under: Gossypium barbadense (sea-island cotton)
Lineage: Eukaryota; Viridiplantae; Streptophyta; Magnoliopsida; Malvales; Malvaceae
Description: long non-coding RNA (GBAR_LNC007474)
Source: RNAcentral
UACUACAGACUAAACUGAGUCUAAAGCACCCAAACCCAGUGAUUUGAAAAACAAAAUAGUGAAUAGAAAUAAAAAAAAGGAAAAAAUCAAAAAGAAAAGUUUGGAAAAGGAAAAUUUGGAGAAGAACGUAAAAAAUGAACAGGAAUUUCGGCAGGAGGCAGAAAAAAACAAAAUAAAAAUAAAAAUUAAUAUUUUGACAAUAUCCCACUAAAUCACAACCCUCUU